GCAGUUCCUAUUCUUCAGCACCAGUUCUAUUCUUUAGCUGUAACUCCUAGUCUUUUGGCAUUAGUUGUAACGUGCUUGAUUUCUGUUGGAUGUAAGGCUAUUAAUAUAGCCAGUUGAAUUGAAUAAAAAAAAGGCUCUUUUGUCGAGAACUCCCUAUCUCUUGACUUCUCCUCCUUUUUUCGUCCUUUCCUCCUCUCUGUUUUCUUUACUUCUCAAAUUAACCACAU
RNAcentral lists this long non-coding RNA (227 nucleotides) under Phoenix dactylifera (date palm). RNAcentral describes it as "long non-coding RNA (PDAC_LNC014027)". Lineage: Eukaryota; Viridiplantae; Streptophyta; Magnoliopsida; Arecales; Arecaceae. The record is from RNAcentral.